UUUAAUCAAAUUUCAUGGGUUUAACAACAACACUUUUAUCAUUCCCACAAUUCAAUCAAAUUUCAUGGGUUUAACAAUAAUAUUUCAAUUAUUCAAACAAUUCAAUCAGAUUUCAUGGGUUUACCAACAACAUUUUCAUCAUUCACACAAUUCAAUCAAAUUUCAUGGGUUUAAAAUAAGAUUUACAUCUUUCCCACAAUUCAAUCAACUUUCAUGGGGUUAACACCAAUAUUUUUAUGAUUAACAAUAUUCAAUCAAAUUUCAUGGGUUUAACAAUAACGUUUUCAUCAUUUCCAUAAUUUAAUCAAAUUUCAUGUGUUUAAAAAUAAUAUUUUAAUUAUUCACACAAUUUAGUCAAAUUUCAUGGGUUUUAAAACAACAUUUUCAUCAUUCACACUAUUUAAUCAAAUUUCAUGGGUUUAACAA
This 426-nucleotide long non-coding RNA is filed under the name Lathyrus oleraceus (garden pea). RNAcentral's name for it is "Pisum sativum (pea) long non-coding RNA (PSAT_LNC038701)". The record is from RNAcentral. Lineage: Eukaryota; Viridiplantae; Streptophyta; Magnoliopsida; Fabales; Fabaceae.